Molecule: ribosomal RNA, 468 nt
Filed under: uncultured bacterium
Lineage: Bacteria
Description: partial 16S ribosomal RNA
Rfam family: Bacterial small subunit ribosomal RNA
Source: RNAcentral
GACGAACGCUGGCGGCGUGCUUAACACAUGCAAGUCGAACGGAAAGGCCCUGCUUUUGUGGGGUGCUCGAGUGGCGAACGGGUGAGUAACACGUGAGUAACCUGCCCUUGACUUUGGGAUAACUUCAGGAAACUGGGGCUAAUACCGGAUAGGAGCUCCUGCUGCAUGGUGGGGGUUGGAAAGUUUCGGCGGUUGGGGAUGGACUCGCGGCUUAUCAGCUUGUUGGUGGGGUAGUGGCUUACCAAGGCUUUGACGGGUAGCCGGCCUGAGAGGGUGACCGGCCACAUUGGGACUGAGAUACGGACCAGACUCCUACGGGAGGCAGCAGUAGGGAAUAUUGCACAAUGGGCGGAAGCCUGAUGAAGAAACGCCGGGUGCGGGAUGACGGCCUUCGGGUUGUAAACCGCUUUCGCCUGUGACGAAGCGUGAGUGACGGUAAUGGGUAAAGAAGCACCGGCUAACUACGUG